This 253-nucleotide ribosomal RNA is filed under the name uncultured bacterium. RNAcentral describes it as "partial 16S ribosomal RNA". It matches the Rfam family "Bacterial small subunit ribosomal RNA", at positions 524 to 776 of the family's 1533-position model. The record is from RNAcentral.
UACGGAGGGUGCAAGCGUUAUCCGGAUUCACUGGGUUUAAAGGGAGCGCAGGCGGACAUGUAAGUCAGUGGUGAAAUACCUGAGCUUAACUCGGGAACUGCCAUUGAUACUAUGUGUCUUGAAUAUUGUUGAGGUUUGCGGAAUGGGUCAUGUAGCGGUGAAAUGCUUAGAUAUGACAUAGAACACCGAUUGCGAAGGCAGCUUGCUACACGAUCAUUGACACUGAGGCACGAAAGCGUGGGGAUCAAACAGG